CUGGCGGCGUGCCUAACACAUGCAAGUCGAACGGGCGAAGGGAGCUUGCUCCCGGAGCUAGUGGCGAACGGGUGAGUAACGCGUGAGCAACCUGCCUUUCAGAGGGGGACAACGGUCGGAAACGACCGCUAAUACCGCAUGAUGCAAUCGGACCGCAUGAUCUGAUUGCCAAAGAUUUAUCGCUGAAAGAUGGGCUCGCGUCUGAUUAGAUAGUUGGUGGGGUAACGGCCUACCAAGUCGACGAUCAGUAGCCGGACUGAGAGGUUGAACGGCCACAUUGGGACUGAGAUACGGCCCAGACUCCUACGGGAGGCAGCAGUGGGGAAUAUUGGGCCAAUGGGGGAAACCCUGACCCAGCAACGCCGCGUGAAGGAAGAAGGCUUUCGGGUUGUAAACUUCUUUUACCGAGGACGAAGAACGUGACGGUACUCGGAGAAAAAGCCACGGCUAACUACGUGCCAGCCGCCGC
RNAcentral lists this ribosomal RNA (469 nucleotides) under uncultured bacterium. RNAcentral's name for it is "bacterial SSU rRNA". It matches the Rfam family "Bacterial small subunit ribosomal RNA", at positions 36 to 518 of the family's 1533-position model. The record is from RNAcentral.